This 75-nucleotide antisense RNA is filed under the name Streptomyces sp. Mg1. Its description in RNAcentral is "ASpks TB sRNA". It matches the Rfam family "ASpks TB sRNA". The record is from Rfam by way of RNAcentral. RNAcentral also lists the same sequence under 1 other name. Lineage: Bacteria; Bacillati; Actinomycetota; Actinomycetes; Kitasatosporales; Streptomycetaceae.
UUUGACGGAACCCAGCCACAGGGGGCGGUCCUCGGUGUGUUCGCGGCCGUACGUCGCGAGCAGGGCCUGGGCCUC